Molecule: unclassified non-coding RNA, 256 nt
Filed under: uncultured Chaetothyriales
Lineage: Eukaryota; Fungi; Ascomycota; Eurotiomycetes; Chaetothyriales
Description: sequence contains 5.8S rRNA gene, ITS2, 28S rRNA gene
Rfam family: 5.8S ribosomal RNA (bases 1-52)
Source: RNAcentral
AACGCAUAUUGCGCCCUUUGGUAUUCCGAAGGGCAUGCCUGUUCGAGCGUCAUUCAUACCAUAUCAAGCUAGGCUUGUUGUUGGGCCCUUUGUCACUGGGUGACAGGUCCGAAAGACAAUGGCCGGUGUCAUAACAGACUCCCUAUGCAACGAGCUUAUAAUGGCACGCAUCUGGUGGUUAUGUGACCCGGUUUGCACCCUUCAAAACUUUCUCAAGGUUGACCUCGGAUCAGGUAGGAAUACCCGCUGAACUUAA